This 563-nucleotide ribosomal RNA is filed under the name uncultured bacterium. RNAcentral's name for it is "bacterial SSU rRNA". It matches the Rfam family "Bacterial small subunit ribosomal RNA", at positions 339 to 915 of the family's 1533-position model. The record is from RNAcentral.
CCUCGGGAGGCAGCAGUAGGGAAUAUUGCGCAAUGGGGGCAACCCUGUACGCAGCAAUGCCGCGUGAGUGAAGAAGGCCUUCGGGUCGUAAAGCUCUUUUAUGGGGGAAGAUGAUGACGGUACCCCAUGAAUAAGCACCGGCUAACUUCGUGCCAGCAGCCGCGGUAAUACGUAGGGUGCGAGCGUUGUUCGGAAUUACAGGGCGUAAAGGGCGUGCAGGCGGAUUGGCAAGCCGGAGGUGAAAGCCCGGGGCUCAACCCCGGAGGGUCUUUCGGAACUGCCAGUCUUGAGAGGGUCAGGGGCCAGCGGAAUUCCUGGUGUAGAGGUGAAAUUCGUAGAGAUCAGGAGGAACACCGGCGGCGAAAGCGGCUGGCUGGGGCCACUCUGACGCUGAGGCGCGAAAGCGUGGGGAGCAAACAGGAUUAGAUACCCUGGUAGUCCACGCCGUAAACGAUGGGCACUAAGCGUCCGACGGGUUCGACCCUGUUGGGUGCUGCAGUUAACGCGUUAAGUGCCCCGCCUGGGGAGUACGGUCGCAAGACUAAAACUCAAAGGAAUUGACG